Molecule: non-coding RNA, 342 nt
Organism: Vicia faba (fava bean)
Lineage: Eukaryota; Viridiplantae; Streptophyta; Magnoliopsida; Fabales; Fabaceae
Source: the annotation of a GenBank genome assembly
AUGGCGUAUAAUAAGGUAACACCUCUUUCGUUCAGUGACUAUUGUGAUCCAUACUUUAUGGUGGUGACUUAUUCUUCCCUUUAUUGCACAGCCUCCUUUCGGAAGAUAAAAAGAUAUUUGUCCUGCUUCGACAAGGCUCCUCACGGGGGAAGUGCCGAUAUAUUGACCUUUAAGCUCGGCGGGUUCUUUGCAUUUGUAUCGGUCCGGGGUUUGCCUUUCCCGUCCUACUUAUUGUAUGCUGAUGACAUUCUGCUUUUCUGCGCGGCAUCUAUCUCUAAUGCCAAGGAGAUUCUUAAGAUCUUGAAAGACUAUGCUGAAAUUUUAGGCCAGUUCCAAUCCUGA